UUGGGAGAAUGGGUUGACAGCAAUGGAGUGUGCCUUGCACCUGGAAAAGAAUGUGAACCAGUCACUCCUUGACCUGCACAAGCUGGCAACUGAGAAGAAUGACCCUCAUUUGUGUGACUUCAUUGAAACUCUCUACCUGGAUGAGCAGGAGUUC
Chelonia mydas (Green sea turtle) is the source of this 154-nucleotide long non-coding RNA. RefSeq lists it as uncharacterized. Lineage: Eukaryota; Metazoa; Chordata; Testudines; Cheloniidae. The record is from RefSeq and is a predicted model, not a curated record. The transcript has 4 exons.